RNAcentral lists this ribosomal RNA (530 nucleotides) under uncultured bacterium. RNAcentral describes it as "bacterial SSU rRNA". It matches the Rfam family "Bacterial small subunit ribosomal RNA", at positions 777 to 1315 of the family's 1533-position model. The record is from RNAcentral.
AAUAGAUACCCAGGUAGUCCACGCCGUAAACGAUGGAUACUAGCUGUUGGGCGCAAGUUCAGUGGCUAAGCGAAAGUGAUAAGUAUCCCACCUGGGGAGUACGUUCGCAAGAAUGAAACUCAAAGGAAUUGACGGGGGCCCGCACAAGCGGUGGAGCAUGUGGUUUAAUUCGAUGAUACGCGAGGAACCUUACCAAGGCUUAAAUGUAGAUUGACCGGUUUGGAAACAGAUCUUUCGCAAGACAAUUUACAAGGUGCUGCAUGGUUGUCGUCAGCUCGUGCCGUGAGGUGUCAGGUUAAGUCCUAUAACGAGCGCAACCCCUGUUGUUAGUUGCCAGCGAGUCAAGUCGGGAACUCUAACAAGACUGCCAGUGCAAACUGUGAGGAAGGUGGGGAUGACGUCAAAUCAUCACGGCCCUUACGCCUUGGGCUACACACGUGCUACAAUGGCCGGUACAGAGAGCAGCCACUGGGUGACCAGGAGCGAAUCUAUAAAACCGGUCACAGUUCGGAUCGGAGUCUGCAACUCGA